Molecule: ribosomal RNA, 873 nt
Filed under: Penicillium estinogenum
Lineage: Eukaryota; Fungi; Ascomycota; Eurotiomycetes; Eurotiales; Aspergillaceae
Description: LSU rRNA
Rfam family: Eukaryotic large subunit ribosomal RNA
Source: RNAcentral
GCAUAUCAAUAAGCGGAGGAAAAGAAACCAACAGGGAUUGCCUCAGUAACGGCGAGUGAAGCGGCAAGAGCUCAAAUUUGAAAGCUGGCCCCCUCGGGGUCCGCAUUGUAAUUUGCAGAGGAUGCUUCGGGAGCGGCCCCCAUCUAAGUGCCCUGGAACGGGCCGUCAUAGAGGGUGAGAAUCCCGUAUGGGAUGGGGUGUCCGCGCCCGUGUGAAGCUCCUUCGACGAGUCGAGUUGUUUGGGAAUGCAGCUCUAAAUGGGUGGUAAAUUUCAUCUAAAGCUAAAUAUUGGCCGGAGACCGAUAGCGCACAAGUAGAGUGAUCGAAAGAUGAAAAGCACUUUGAAAAGAGAGUUAAAAAGCACGUGAAAUUGUUGAAAGGGAAGCGCUUGCGACCAGACUCGCCCGCGGGGUUCAGCCGGCAUUCGUGCCGGUGUACUUCCCCGUGGGCGGGCCAGCGUCGGUUUGGGCGGCCGGUCAAAGGCCCUCGGAAUGUAACGCCUCUCGGGGCGUCUUAUAGCCGAGGGUGCCAUGCGGCCAGCCCGGACCGAGGAACGCGCUUCGGCUCGGACGCUGGCAUAAUGGUCGUAAGCGACCCGUCUUGAAACACGGACCAAGGAGUCUAACAUCUACGCGAGUGUUCGGGUGUCAAACCCGUGCGCGCAGUGAAAGCGAACGGAGGUGGGAACCCUUUGGGUGCACCAUCGACCGAUCCUGAUGUCUUCGGAUGGAUUUGAGUAAGAGCGUAGCUGUUGGGACCCGAAAGAUGGUGAACUAUGCCUGAAUAGGGCGAAGCCAGAGGAAACUCUGGUGGAGGCUCGCAGCGGUUCUGACGUGCAAAUCGAUCGUCGAAUUUGGGUAUAGGGCGAAAGAC